GUUUCUCUUUUUCAGGCGUAUUUUCUCAUCUUGUCUGAAGCUUUUGAGGGCAGACUACCAAGGCCCGGAGGAAUAGUAGAUGGUCUGUCUAGAAUUCCAAAGGCAAAUGACUCAAGGUAACAGGAAAAAAGAAAAUCCAGUAUCAGGAUAAUCAGAACACCACAGGUUUACAGUUUGUAGAAACUAGAACACGAGCAGCUCUCACUUAAGGUCUGUGAUGGAACUCCAGUGGAGAAAUGGCUGGUACUUUUUCCACCCCUUAAUCAGAUUUUUUUUUUAAUUAAAGUAUGUAACCGGUUAUUUUUACUUGAAGUAUUUUGGGGUGGUCUUAACAGGGAAGAGGGUGGGGGAGAAAAUGUUUUUUUCUAAGACUUUCCACAGAUGCUAUAGUACUAUUGACAAACUGAGUUAGAGAAGGAUUGUACUGCUAUGCUGUUGGCACCAAACACCUUCAGGGAUUGGAGCUGCUUUUUUCCUUGGAGUAUUCCCAGUGAAGCUGAAAUAUACAGCACAGUGCAGCUUUGGUUCAUAUUCAGUCAUCUCAGGAGAACUUCAGAAGAGCUUGACUAGGCCAAAUAUUGAAGUUAAGUUUUCAAAUAAUGGAACUUUUUAAGAUGCCUUUUAAAGGGGAGGGGCAAGUUUUGGCAAUUAGUUGGCAGUGGCCUGUUUUGGUUGGGGUUGGGUGGGUUGGGUUUAGGUAAUUGUUUAGUUUAUGAUUUCAGAUAACUCAUGCCAGAGAACUUAAAUACUUAGGAUGGAAAAACUAAAGAAAUCUCACCUCCCAAGUUGGCAAGUAACUCCUGAUCCUCUAGUUUCUUGUUUUACCCCAAUUUUUGAACUGGACAGCUGGGAACUUCAAAGAUUCACUGGAUUUAAAGUGUAGGGCUUGGGAAAGGAAAGUGUUGGAUUGGGGGUUGGUCUAGCCCACUGGGUUGACCAAGAUAAAAACUUGGGGAAUUGUUUAAACACUAAAGUUGUUUGGAUAUGGUAGUGUGUGGUUCUCUUUUGGAAUUUUUUUCAGGUGAUUUAAUAAAACUUAAUACUACUAUAGGAGCUUCAGAGCAAAGGAAGUGGCUUAAUGAUCCUGAAGGGAUUUCUUCUGAUGGUAGCUUUUAUAUUAUCAAGUUUCUCAUUAUCAGAAGAGUUGCUUCAUAUCAUCUGGGAGCAGAAAACAGCAGGCAGCUGUUCACAGAUAAGUUUAACUUGCAUCUGCAGUAUUGCAUGUUAGGGAUAAGUGCUAUGUUUAAUAAGAGCUGUGGAGGUCCUAGGUCCCUUACUCAAGGGAUCUCAGGAUUUUGAGGAAUUUUCCCAUCCAGCCUUUUAAAAUGAGACAGGCCUUAUGCCUGUGGGCUUCCAUGAUGGGCUAACUCACUUCACUCGAGGCAAGUAAUUCCUUAAAGCCUCUUGAGAUUAAUACCUUAAUAAUCAAGGAUAAUGUUGAUAAAAUAAAAAUUUGUUUAGCAUUGAUUCUUGAAAACCCUAUGAAAAGAUAGCAUAAUGUGCUGUUAACCAGAAUCAGAUAUGUUAACCUUGCUAAAAUUUAAAUGUUAUGUGUAUUGUGCAGAAAACCGUAAAAUCACUCAAAAUAAAAUACUUUAUUUAGCGAAUGUAUGCUUUUAGAAAGCUGUCUCCUUAUUUAAAUAAAAUAUUGUUUGUCUGUAGUUAGUGUUGGGCAAUCUUGGGGGGAUUCUUCUCAUCUUUCAGAGACUUUGUCUGCGAACACUCUGUAAUGGACAAGAUCAGGAAUUGAGCUGAAGAACGAAUUUAACUUAAGGCAGGAAAGACAAAUUUUAUCCUUCGUAAAAUUGAUGACCAUUUAAUAAUUCCAGGCACAUGGCCAUAGAGACCCUCUAAAUAAAUAAGGAAUAAAUACUUAUUAGGCAGGUGGGAGAUUAUGAUCAGAAGAACAGGUAACUACACCUACGCAUUUUUCAGAAAGUCAGGAGUCGAAAUUGACAGUACUGAAGUAUAAUGCGGUCCACAUUUCCAAAGUUUGCAUGUUAAAUUGAAAUGCUUACCAUCUCAUCUAGUGUUAGCCAAUGCUUUACACUUAUUAGCCUUUUAUAUAGACACUUGGUGGGGGGCAUGUGGGUUUUUUAAAGAACUUUCCUUUGCAGAGGCUUCGUUUCAUCCUUCAUGAGGCUGUUCAGGAUUUUGACUUGCAUAUAAACGCUUGGCUCUGCCUUCUGUUCUCCUAGUGGGUGUGUGAGACCUUGCAGUGAGUUUUCAGCAUACUCAAGUAAAAA
This 2246-nucleotide long non-coding RNA is filed under the name Sus scrofa (pig). RNAcentral describes it as "lncRNA (ENSSSCG00060063388.1)". Lineage: Eukaryota; Metazoa; Chordata; Mammalia; Artiodactyla; Suidae. The record is from RNAcentral.